GACCUGGUAGCGCAAUGUUAGUGCGUCUGCAUACAGUGGCAUGUUUUUCGAUCGACAGAGCCCUUGCAGAAGAUCCCCGUUCGACUCGGGGUCAGGUCA
Non-coding RNA from Mycena latifolia, 99 nucleotides. The record is from the annotation of a GenBank genome assembly. NCBI's taxonomy places the organism in Eukaryota, Fungi, Basidiomycota, Agaricomycetes, Agaricales, Mycenaceae.